This 85-nucleotide transfer RNA is filed under the name Candidatus Bathyarchaeota archaeon. Its description in RNAcentral is "tRNA-Leu". It matches the Rfam family "tRNA". From Rfam's summary of the family: Transfer RNA (tRNA) molecules are approximately 80 nucleotides in length. Their secondary structure includes four short double-helical elements and three loops (D, anti-codon, and T loops). RNAcentral also lists the same sequence under 1 other name. The record is from RNAcentral. Lineage: Archaea; Thermoproteati; Candidatus Bathyarchaeota.
GCAGGGGUAGCCAAGCCUGGCUAAAGGCGCAGGCUUCAGGAGCCUGUCCCGUAGGGGUUCGUGGGUUCAAAUCCCACCCCCUGCA